RNAcentral lists this ribosomal RNA (1206 nucleotides) under Triticum aestivum (bread wheat). Its description in RNAcentral is "partial small subunit ribosomal RNA". The record is from RNAcentral. Lineage: Eukaryota; Viridiplantae; Streptophyta; Magnoliopsida; Poales; Poaceae.
AUGGGGACCAAGAGGAGCGUGGGCACCCUGGGCGAGAAGGACCUCAGCGGGAAGAAGGUGCUCCUCCGCGCCGACCUGAACGUGCCGCUAGACGACGGCCAGAGGAUCGCCGACGACAACCGCAUCCGCGCCUCCGUCCCCACCAUCAAGUUCCUCAUGGGGAAGGGCGCCAAGGUCGUCCUGGCCAGCCAUCUGGGCCGGCCAAAAGGGGUCACCCCGAAGUACAGCUUGAAGCCUCUUGUUCCACGCCUGUCUGAGCUUCUUGGAGUGGAUGUUGUGAUGGCCAACGACUGCAUCGGUGAGGAAGUUGAGAAAUUAGCUGCUGCUUUACCAGAUGGAGGUGUUCUACUUCUAGAAAAUGUGAGAUUCUACAAGGAGGAAGAAAAGAAUGACCCUGAGUUCGCCAAGAAACUAGCAUCUGUUGCUGAUCUUUAUGUAAAUGAUGCCUUUGGCACUGCACAUAGAGCACAUGCUUCAACAGAGGGAGUUACCAAGUAUUUGAGGCCUGCUGUCGCUGGAUUUCUUAUGCAGAAGGAACUUGACUAUCUUGUUGGAGCUGUUGCCAACCCGACAAAGCCAUUUGCUGCAAUUGUUGGUGGAUCCAAAGUGUCAACUAAGAUUGGGGUGAUCGAGUCUCUUUUGUCGAAGGUUGACAUCCUCAUCCUUGGUGGCGGUAUGAUUUACACAUUUUACAAGGCCCAGGGGCAUGCUGUCGGAAAAUCUCUUGUGGAGGAAGACAAGCUUGAACUGGCAAACUCGCUUAUUGAGAAGGCCAAGUUGAAGGGGGUCUCUCUUUUGCUUCCCACUGAUAUUGUAGUAGCUGAUAAUUUUGCUGCAGAUGCUGAGAGCAAGAUUGUUCCUGCCUCUGCUAUUCCUGAUGCUUGGAUGGGUCUUGAUAUUGGCCCGGAUUCUAUCAAGAAAUUCAGUGAAACUUUGGACACUAUCAAGACUGUCAUCUGGAAUGGACCGAUGGGAGUUUUCGAAUUUGAGAAGUUUGCUGCUGGCACUGAUGCAAUCGCGAAAAAGUUGGCUGAUAUCACAGCAAAAGGCGUAACAACCAUCAUUGGCGGUGGCGACUCUGUUGCUGCCGUCGAGAAGGCUGGUUUGGCGAGUAAGAUGAGCCACAUUUCGACAGGAGGUGGCGCAAGCCUGGAGCUGUUGGAAGGCAAGACCCUCCCAGGCGUCCUUGCUCUCGACGACGCAUAG